RNAcentral lists this ribosomal RNA (1266 nucleotides) under Ypthima amphithea. RNAcentral's name for it is "partial 16S ribosomal RNA". The record is from RNAcentral. Lineage: Eukaryota; Metazoa; Arthropoda; Insecta; Lepidoptera; Nymphalidae.
GGGGAAAAAUUAAUAAAGUAUAAAUAAUAAAAAAAUUUUUGACGUUAAAAACAAAUAAUGGGGGUUAAAGUAUUUUUAAUAGAAAAAAUAAGAAAAUUUAUAGAAAAUUAGUAUUGUAAAAGAAAUUUUAAAAUUAAAAUGAAUUUAAAUUAAAGAAAAUUUAAUUUAUUGUAUCUUGUGUAUCAGAGUUUAUUAAAUAAUUUUUAUUUAAUAUAAAAAUCUCGAAUUUAAAAGAGUUAAUUAAUUAAAAAAGUUAAUGUUGAAUAAUUAUUUUAAAUAAUUAAUUAGAAAUUAGAUGUUAAUCGUUUUUAAAUAUAUCUAGUUAUUUUAGAAAAAAAUUUAAUUUAAAAUUUAAAUAAUUUUAAUAUUUAAUAAUAAAAUUUUAAAAAUUUAAAUUUAAUAUAUUAAGGGAUAAGCUUUAAAUUAAAAAUUUAUAAUAAAUAUUAUUUAUAUAAUUAAAAUUUUUAAAAUUUAUAUUGUUUAAGAAUUUUAAUUUAUUAUAAAAAAUUUUAAUUAAAAUAAAAUUUAAUAAAAUAAAUUUAAAUUUAUAUAAAAUAAUAAUUUUUAAUAAUAAUAAAUUAGAAAUAAUGAUAAAAUUAGUAUAAUUUAAAAUAUAAAAAUAUAAAUAAAAAUUAAAGUUAAAUUUAAGGAAUUCGGCAAAAAUAAAUAUUCACUUGUUUAUCAAAAACAUGUCUUUUUGAUAAUAAUUUAAAGCCUAAUCUGCCCACUGAUAAAAAUUAAAGGGCUGCAGUAUUUUGACUGUACAAAGGUAGCAUAAUCAAUAGUUUUUUAAUUGAAAACUUGAAUGAAAGAUUUAAUGAAAUAUAAACUGUCUCAAUAUUAUUAUUAAAAUUUUAUUUUUUAGUUAAAAAGCUAAAAUAAUUUUAAAAGACGAGAAGACCCUAUAGAGUUUUAUAUUUUUAUUAAUUAUUAAAUUAUAUUAAAAUUUAUAUUUAAAAUAAAUAAAAAUAUUAUAUUGGGGUGAUAAAAAAAUAAAAUUAACUUUUUAAAAAUAAAAUAUAGAUAAGUAAGUAAUUGAUCCAUUAAUAAUGAUUAAAAGAAAAAAUUACCUUAGGGAUAACAGCGUAAUAUUUUUUUUUAGUUCAAAUAAAAAAAAAAGUUUGCGACCUCGAUGUUGGAUUAAGAUAAAAUUUAAAUGCAAAAGUUUAAAAUUUUGAUCUGUUCGAUCAUUAAAAUCUUACAUGAUCUGAGUUCAAACCGGGGUAAGCCAGGUUGGUUUCUAUCUUUAAAUAAUAAAAUAUUUUA